AUCGCUUCUCGGCCUUUUGGCUAAGAUCUAGUGAAGUAUCUGUUC
Molecule: small nuclear RNA, 45 nt
Filed under: Cervus elaphus hippelaphus
Lineage: Eukaryota; Metazoa; Chordata; Mammalia; Artiodactyla; Cervidae
Rfam family: U2 spliceosomal RNA
About the family: U2 is a small nuclear RNA (snRNA) component of the spliceosome (involved in pre-mRNA splicing). Complementary binding between U2 snRNA (in an area lying towards the 5' end but 3' to hairpin I) and the branchpoint sequence (BPS) of the intron results the bulging out of an unpaired adenosine, on the BPS, which initiates a nucleophilic attack at the intronic 5' splice site, thus starting the first of two transesterification reactions that mediate splicing.
Source: RNAcentral